RNAcentral lists this ribosomal RNA (253 nucleotides) under uncultured bacterium. RNAcentral describes it as "partial 16S ribosomal RNA". It matches the Rfam family "Bacterial small subunit ribosomal RNA", at positions 524 to 776 of the family's 1533-position model. The record is from RNAcentral.
UACAGAGGUCUCAAGCGUUGUUCGGAUUCAUUGGGCGUAAAGGGUGCGUAGGUGGCGGGGUAAGUCAGGUGUGAAAUCUCGGAGCUCAACUCCGAAACUGCACUUGAUACUGCCUUGCUUGAGUACUGGAGAGGAGAUUGGAAUUUACGGUGUGGCAGUGAAAUGCGUAGAUAUCGUAAGGAAGACCAGUGGCGAAGGCGAAUCUCUGGACAGUUACUGACACUGAGGCACGAAGGCCAGGGGAGCAAACGGG